Molecule: ribosomal RNA, 883 nt
Filed under: Coconut lethal yellowing phytoplasma
Lineage: Bacteria; Bacillati; Mycoplasmatota; Mollicutes; Acholeplasmatales; Acholeplasmataceae
Description: bacterial SSU rRNA
Rfam family: Bacterial small subunit ribosomal RNA (bases 1-706)
Source: RNAcentral
GGGGUUUCCUCGGUACUGAAGUUAACACAUUAAGUACUCCGCCUGAGUAGUACGUACGCAAGUAUGAAACUUAAAGGAAUUGACGGGAUCCCGCACAAGCGGUGGAUCAUGUUGUUUAAUUCGAAGAUACACGAAAAACCUUACCAGGUCUUGACAUUAUCCUGCGAAGCUAUAGAAAUAUAGGGGAGGUUAUCAGGAUAACAGGUGGUGCAUGGUUGUCGUCAGCUCGUGUCGUGAGAUGUUAGGUUAAGUCCUAAAACGAGCGCAACCCUUGUCGUUAGUUACCAGCACGUUAUGGUGGGGACUUUAGCGAGACUGCCAAUGAAAAAAUUGGAGGAAGGUGAGGAUUACGUCAAAUCAUCAUGCCCCUUAUGAUCUGGGCUACAAACGUGAUACAAUGGCUAUUACAAAGAGCAGCUGAAACGUGAGUUGUUAGCUAAUCUCAAAAAAAUAGUCUCAGUUCGGAUUGAAGUCUGCAACUCGACUUCAUGAAGUUGGAAUCGCUAGUAAUCGCGAAUCAGCAUGUCGCGGUGAAUACGUUCUCGGGGUUUGUACACACCGCCCGUCAAACCAUGAAAGUUGACAAUACCCAAAACCAGUCGCUUAACUACUUCGGUAGAGGGAGCUGUCUAAGGUAGGGUCGAUGAUUGGGGUUAAGUCGUAACAAGGUAUCCCUACCGGAAGGUGGGGAUGGAUCACCUCCUUUCUAAGGAAAUGUCGUAUCAUGAUCAUCUUCAGUUUUGAAAGACUUAGAGUAGAUAAGUUUUUCUUUUGGCGUAGAGGAAGGGCCUAUAGCUCAGUUGGUAGAGCACACGCUUGAUAAGCGUGCGGUCAAUGGUUCAAGUCCAUUUAGGCCCACCAUACCACAUUCUUCCUUAUUCAA